GUCGUCGCAAUAGUAAUUCAACUUAGUACGAGAGGAACCGUUGAUUCAGAUAAUUGGUUUUUGCGGCUGUCCGACCGGGCAUUGCCGCGAAGCUACCAUCUGUUGGAUUAUGGCUGAACGCCUCUAAGUCAGAAUCCAUGCUAGAACGUGAUGAUUUUUACUCCUACGCAUCUGUACUCGUACAAGAAUAGGCUCCGGCCAUGCGUCAUAGCAGGCUGACAACGGGUUCCCCGAUCGAAAGUUCGGGUUUCCCUGUCGGCGUAUUGCAAUUUAACCAUGCGUGGGAAUAAAUCCCUUGCAGACGACUUGAGUGUGAGGCAGGGUGCUGUAAGCAGUAGAGUAGCCUUGUUGUUACGAUCUGCUGAGGCUAAACCUUCGCUUCCUAGAUUU
RNAcentral lists this non-coding RNA (390 nucleotides) under Orbilia oligospora ATCC 24927. RNAcentral describes it as "Arthrobotrys oligospora ATCC 24927 Eukaryotic large subunit ribosomal RNA". It matches the Rfam family "Eukaryotic large subunit ribosomal RNA", at positions 3007 to 3399 of the family's 3401-position model. Lineage: Eukaryota; Fungi; Ascomycota; Orbiliomycetes; Orbiliales; Orbiliaceae. The record is from Rfam by way of RNAcentral.